Triticum dicoccoides is the source of this 1147-nucleotide long non-coding RNA. RefSeq lists it as uncharacterized. The record is from RefSeq and is a predicted model, not a curated record. The transcript is spliced from 2 exons. NCBI's taxonomy places the organism in Eukaryota, Viridiplantae, Streptophyta, Magnoliopsida, Poales, Poaceae.
UUUGCCCAAGCCUGUUUGCUCCUCUUAUGAAUUUGCCCUCCCGUCACGUUUUCGUCCAGUUAGUGCCGUUUGACUGUGUGUUGACCGUCUAUGGACUUUUCGAUGGACCAUUUUGCCCCUCCUUUCUUACUCUCUCAGCAAACACUUCCAAGUGGGACCAUCAUCGAAAAAACCAUCUCAUAUCCUCUCUUCCUUCUCUCCCGUUGGUCAAACCCUAGCCCCAGAUCCCAUUCCCUCUCUCAAAUCUUAACCCCCGUGCACCACCCUUAGUUCUCCGCCGCCAUGCUUUAGAGCAAGGCCACAGGGCAACCAUCCACACCAGCGCCCGCGUGCGGUUCAAUCCAACCGAGCUCGUCGGUGGCCAACCUCGUCGGAGUAAGCACGUAGGUCUGUCGCCGUUCUUCACCACCAUCGGAAUGCCACUGCAUCCACCUGGGUUGCCGUCACUGGUCAUGCACUCUGGCCUCUAGAUCCAACCUGUCCUUGAGGGGAUCCGCCCGCCGUCGCCCCGCCGGAGAUCCCCAAUGUCUGCUACUACCAACACCAUCCCCUGCAUCAAGCUCCAGAUCCAACAUGUCCUCGCCGGGAUCCGCCCGUUGUCGCCGCAUCAGAGACCCCUGACGUCCUCUACUUCCAGCGCCAUCCCCUGCAUCAAGCUGUUGCGCAAGCUCAUCCUCCUUUCUUCUCGAGGCUUUCAUGAGCUCCGGCUAGAGAUAUGCAAUGGUUGCGUCCCCGUUGACCCUCCUCCAUGCCAACGUUGGCUAGCCUCCAUCGACGCCUCCCGCUGGCCCAGAUCCAUAGCGCCCCGAGGAAGGCCAGCGGGGAUCCGGUUAGUGAUGGGGCCACAAAUCUCGUCGGUGGCCAAUUUAGGUGGCUGCUGGGGACCCAUGGCGGCGAGAGAUGGUGGAGGAGGGUGGCACGCGCCUUCCCCGGGCUUCCUUCGACGCUGCAGCGGCGGUGGCCAAGCGCCUAGCGAGCUCCGACGCCGAUUCAUUUGCUCCGGCGAGCACAUCCUCAUCCUACAGAGGGUGUCCUUUAAAUUGUUGGCUUGACGUUUGUUAAGACUUGACACAAUGUAAUUAGCUUGUAUAGCUGGCAACUGUGGACUGAUCAUUAAAUAUAUUCGAGAUGAGACUGACGUUAAGUA